RNAcentral lists this ribosomal RNA (253 nucleotides) under uncultured bacterium. RNAcentral's name for it is "partial 16S ribosomal RNA". It matches the Rfam family "Bacterial small subunit ribosomal RNA", at positions 524 to 776 of the family's 1533-position model. The record is from RNAcentral.
UACAGAGGGCGCAACCGUUGCUCGGAAUUACUGGGAGUAAAGCGCGUGUAGGCGGUUGGCUAAGUCGACUGUGAAAGCCCAUGGCUCAACCAUGGAAGCGCAGUCGAUACUGGCUAACUGGAGUCCCGGAGAGGGUGGUGGAAUUCUCAGUGUAGAGGUGAAAUUCGUAGAUAUUGAGAGGAACACCGGUGGCGAAGGCGACCACCUGGACGGGUACUGACGCUGAGACGCGAAAGCGUGGGGAGCAAACAGG